UACGGAGGGUGCGAGCGUUGUCCGGAAUCACUGGGCGUAAAGGGCGCGUAGGCGGUGCGCCAAGUCAACGGUGAAAGCUCGGGGCUCAACCCCGAGUCGGCCGUCGAUACUGGCGUACUCGAGCACUGUAGAGGCAGAUGGAAUUCCGGGUGUAGCGGUGGAAUGCGUAGAGAUCCGGAAGAACACCGGUGGCGAAGGCGGUCUGCUGGGCAGUAGCUGACGCUGAGGCGCGACAGCGUGGGGAGCAAAC
Molecule: ribosomal RNA, 250 nt
Filed under: uncultured bacterium
Lineage: Bacteria
Description: partial 16S ribosomal RNA
Rfam family: Bacterial small subunit ribosomal RNA
Source: RNAcentral